This 231-nucleotide long non-coding RNA is filed under the name Homo sapiens (human). Its description in RNAcentral is "non-protein coding lnc-TLX3-1:1". The record is from RNAcentral. Lineage: Eukaryota; Metazoa; Chordata; Mammalia; Primates; Hominidae.
UCACAAUCACUUUAGAAAACAGUUUUGAAGCCCUAUUUUACAGAUGAGAAAACUUAAGGCUCAGCAACUUGAAAGUGUAUUUGCCCAUAGCUAAAUACAACAGUUCUCUACCUACUAGCUCAGGAUGCUUCAAUCCAUUUCAAAAGUUGACCUCAAAGUCUUCAACCAAAGCUGAGGUGCUCUCUGCAGGUGGAGCAGACACUGUUAUGGGAGGGAUCAUUCUCACAUAAA